Molecule: long non-coding RNA, 13560 nt
Organism: Peromyscus californicus insignis
Lineage: Eukaryota; Metazoa; Chordata; Mammalia; Rodentia; Cricetidae
Exons: 2
Source: RefSeq, a predicted model, not a curated record
ACAGGCAAACACUGGUGUAUUUUAUUAGGAGGGACAUUUUCUACAGCAAACUUUGCGGGGUGUUUAUGUAUUGCAUGUUCACAAGUGUGCAUGUGUGUACCCAUGCACGUGGAGGCUGGAGGACAACCUUAGUUGUUGUUACAGGGUCUCCCGCUGGCCUGGAACUCACCGAGUAGGGUGGCCGGCCAGCAAGACCCAGCACGUCUCCUGUCUACCUUUCCCACCGGCUUGUCUGUUUCACGGGUUCUGGGGAUCAAACUCAGGUUCCCGAGCUCGCAAGGGGCAAAUAACUUUACUGAGUGAAUUAUCUCCCCAGCCCAUGAUAUUUAAUUUUUAUCAAGACAGAUACUAAUUUCCAAAAAGAAAACUUUUAGUUAUUCCUGAACACGUUUCCUAAAAUGUACUGAGAAAAUGAAAACACUAAAUUUUAGAGAUGAUUUAAUAUUUUUAACAGAAUGAAUGUCACCUUCCCAUCACUAAGUGAUAAAUCACCCCUAGAAUGUUGAGAGACAAAAUCCCAGAGAGCAAGCGUGCCAGCCCGGGGGAGCCUGGAGUGCUCAUAGGUGCUGGAGGCCACCAGACUCUAGCUUUGUGAGCUGUGGUGCCCUGGAGCUCCACCCGGGUGGGGAAAGCUCUAGAGAGCAGCUUUUGACAUUUCCUUUUCUUCUCCUGGGCUCAAUCAUGGGCUUCACUCUGAAUGCUUUCAUCCCAACUUCUCCAACCCCACUCCUCCUCCACUGUGGCUGUGGCCUUAGGACCUGGCUUUCAUUCCCCCGUCUUGGCGCUCUCAGAUGUGGUAGUGUCGUCCUGAGCCUGCCUUGGUCUCAGACAAGAACCCCUGGCCAGACACCAUAGAGCACAGUACUGCCUCCAGUUCAGCUACGGCCAGCGGGUCUGCCAGCGUCGCCCUUCCAACAGGGGAUUUUCUACCUUAUUUGUGAAGCAUUUACCUGGCUUCUGAGAGACUCAGACAGUAAAUAUUGUUGCCCUGUCCUUCUGUGCAUUAAAGACCACACUCCUGUACCUCUCAGCUCCGAGGCAGAGGUUACACUGGACUCCUGUGGGGAGCCAGCAGCGCGCCUUUCCUGCCCUGCUCAGACCCACCCAGCCCACCUCAGCCACUUUAGGUUACAGCCCGUGGGCAUGUAGACUAACAACAGCCUGUUCCUCAACAUCAGAUGUUCUGUGUGCAAGGGACACUUUGUCAGAGUUAAGUUCUCACGGUUUUAGGCAGAGGGAACAGAGCUGUGCUGCACAGUCACCACGUUCUUCCUCCCAUUGAGUGUCUGCAGGAUGCUGGAAAUGCACUCAACACCCGUCAGUUCCUGAAGAGAUGAUACGGCUCUUAGCCGGAAGGACCCGGCAAUGGGACGAUCACCACUCCUUGCUUUUGUUUAAGAGCAAAGGAGACAACAGGCGAUCCACUGCCCGUGUGUCUUCAGGGCCUGCGGACAGGUGAAGGCCUGGGAGUGGGCUGGAGCAGGGCUGCUGAGUUCUUGAAUCCGCUUCAGUAUCGAUUUCUUUAGCACAGCAAGUAGGAAUGAUAUAUCAAAUGCAACAAAGCACAGAGCAAAACCAUUUGUAAUCACAGCAACUGUCAUACUCGGCUGGUUUCUCUCCUUCUGUAGACUCUUAAUACUGAAUAGGCCUCAUAAUUUUUGCAGUGGGUUUGCCCAAUUUUAUUUUAUAAUAUUUACGCUUCUGUGGCAUCUUUCCCAGGACAUUAAAUUCUCUGUUUCUGUUACCAGCCAGCUCUAACAAUGUAGUUACCGUAAGUGUAUUUUUAUGUUCUGGCUCCCUUUUAAAAAUGCAUUUAUCAGAAAUUACUCAUCCCAUAUACGUCUGUCAGCUCCCGGGCCGCCCUCUUAGUCCACUGAUCUACAUUUAUGCUUUCUUAUUAGCACUAAGCACCUCUUAUUUUUCUUUAUAAUGUACUUUAGAAUACAUGGCCAUUUGUUCUUCCUCGUUGUUCUUAGAUUCUUAUUUCAAUCCUAAUGACUUUAAUAAUUAUAUUUCCUGUUCCACAAAUAAUCCUGUUGGGAUUUUAAUUGAAACUGUUUUAUCCCUAUAAAUCUCCUGGGGUCAAUUCAUCGUCUUUCCAUUCAGCCGGCAGCAGAGUCCAUCUCUCCGUCUAUUCAAGUGUUUCUUCUGUCUCUUCACGGCCCACUCUCAUCUCACAUAGGGCUGAUGUUUCUCUUGCAUACAUCGUCCAUCAUUAUUUAACGGUAUAGUUCCCCAUUCUCUGUAAGAAGUUGAUUCUUGUUAUUUCCCCUUGGUACUAUCCUGGUUAUCAACUCCCAUUCAUAUCAUGGCAGCAGUUAUGGGUAGGGACAAAGGUUGUGCCCAGUGUCUGUGAAGUGUGUCUCUCCUGAGGACACAGCAUCUUUGACUCACCCGUUCAUCCUGCAUCUGUUCAUUCACAAUAUGCUCAUUGAGUACGUGUGGUGUGCUCGACAGUGCCUAUGGCUCUGAGAAAAAUCCUCAGGGAGAAGAUAUAACAGUCUCUCUACCCCUAGCCUACAUCUUGCCACACUUAAACUAAAUGCCAUUACAGUUUAUGCCCCUUCUCCCAUGCCUUGGCUUUUCAGAAAAGAAGGGGACAUCUAACUUGAUCAAGCAGAGGUGAUCAUAUGACUCUAUCCAACUUCCCUACCAUGUAACUGUAUUUGUAAGGAUGGGUAUUAGUAUUCUAAUUGUACAUCUCUUGGAAAGGCCAAAGUGCUUUCUGAAAUAACUGAAUGAAUCACAGAAAUUCUGGAAGUACGAACCUGUGGGAAAUGAGCAAUCAAAACAAAACAGGAUGUCAUGGACUCCGCAGCAGCCCAUUCGAUCCUGCAGGGUAAGAAACAAUAUGAGUCCAGCCCACUCCCUGCCCCUUCACCAACACCAGGAGAAUGAAAAACAGAACAAUAGAGACAAUUCUGAGAGCAUUAAACCCCGGGCAGGCUCUCCUGAGCUAGGGUUCCCUGUGAGGGGGAAGCCGCACAGCCUCUGACAAAAGGGCAUCCCUGGGUGCCCGAGAGCCCAGGAUGUACUUGACAACAGCACAGGAUGUCACACUUGCAUUUUGGGGCUCUCGACGGGACUGUUAUGAUACUAUGUGUGUGUCUAUACAUGUGUGUGUGUAUAUAUAUAUGCAGUGCAUAUGUGCAUGCAUAUGCAUGUCUAUAUGUGUGUGUAUAUGUUUGUGAUCAUAUGUAUGCAUGGGUUUGUGCAUGUAUGAGUAUAUGUGUGUAUGUGUAUACGCAUGUGUGUACGUGUGCAUAGGUGUAUAUGCGUGUGUAUGUGUGUGUGUGUGUGUGUAUUGGGGAUUGCACCCAGAAGCAUGGUUGUGUGUAUGUUAAAACAUACAUCUCUAUAACUGAGCUACAUCCUCAAUUUUAAAAUAUAUAUAUUUUUUAAAUUUUGAGACUAGGUCUUGCUAAAUUGCCCAGGUCAGCCUUGAACUCACUCUGUAGCCAGGAUAGGUCUUGAAUUUCUGAUUCUCUGGUUCCAGCCUUCCGAGCAGCUUCCCAGGUCUGUGCCAUCAGACCCCUCUCUGCUUUAGGAUUUUAAAGGACAGUUACACACUUGGCGUGGUGACAUCUCUUGUGACAGCAGGGAGGAGGCUGAGGCAGACAAGCACAUGGCUUGGGUAGAUGCCAAUAAACUGCACUUACAAUAAAGCUUCACACCAGAUCAGGGAGCAGCUGGGAGACUAGAUGUAUGAUAAACAGGGUUCUACUGGAAAUGGGGAAAGCUGUGUGGUAGUCGCCACUAGCGACUCCUGUGAUGGGGUAAAGUAGGAAAUCCCCUUGGAGUGGCCUGGAUUGCCUCAGCAGGUAAGGCCCACCCCCAGGCAAGCCUGGCUAUCUGAGUUCCAACCCCGGAACCCAUGGGAAGGUAGGAGAGGUCUCACUCCACAGAGCUGUCCUCCUUCCUCUAUCCACGCGCUAUGGCAUGUGCACACACACAAAUAAUAAUAAUAACAAUAACAACAACAACAAUAAUAAUAACAAUAAUAAAUUUAAUUAAAAAAUCUCCGUGGGGACCAGGGCAUUUCCAUCUCUGCAAAACCUUAGGUUUGUUGUUUUAAAAAUAGGAACCUUGUGCCCAAGAAACAAUUUUUUGUAUUUUCUCUGACUUCAGGAAACUCUACUAUUUACAUGUGACAAAUGAUGGGGGCCCUGCUAACUUCUUAUGAAAUUUAUUCAGUGACUAAUGUUGUCUUUCUCACUAAAAAUACGGGGGAAAUGGAGUGCUGUUUUCCUGCUCUUUUAUCUGAACACGCUGAAGGGGAAACACUCCGGUCUCAUAUUUUUCUCUUAACAAACGGUAGGUGUGGUGCGCUUGGUCAAGUUAGGGCCUAUUAAAAAUUUAUGGAUAUUGUCAAAAAUUCUCAAACAAAUGUGCAAAUGGCCAGUCUGGAGUUCACAGUGAUUUAGAAAGCAGAACUCCUCAAAUGAUAAAUUUCCCCCCGAGGCCCGACACCAGGCUUCGACGGGUCUCACCGUCUCAGACACACAGGACAGAGAUUUAUCUGUGUUUCAUCAAGUAUGAAAAAUAUAUGGAUGGAGGGGUUUCCGGCCGAUCCCCCCCAGUCAUCCAGCCACCUCCAUUAAUGUCAGCAGACCCAUAAAUUUCUCCCAAGUUCUAAAGCAAGCAGCUUGUGCCACUGCACAGAAGCCUCUGAAGGUGUCACUUGCUGCCCAUAAAUUCGCAGACACUCAAUAAAGGCAAUGGACUGCACAUGGACGUGAUUACAUGGCCUCCUUGGGACACCAAGUGGGCCUGUGCUCACAGGAGAGCAGGAGAGCCCUGCGCACCCAGUCUCUUGAUCCCCAGGAGCCAGAUAAGAGAGUCGAUCUAUUCAUAGAUGCCUUGCUUAUUAGUGGGUGUUAUUAGCUGGUUCCAGUCUAGACCGAGGCUUCCUUCUUGGCCCAAGAGUAUUGUCUUGAAUUCUGCUCAUGUUUGAAUGUGACAAGCACACCCCCCACAUCCAGCCAGCCUGCCCUUCCCUUUACAAUUUCAUUAAAAGAAACACUUCAUUAGGGAUGAUAUGAGAACCUAUGUUGGUUUGCUCCUCUGUUGACAAAGUGACAAGUAGAUCUUGUUUCUACUUUCCUAUCCCAAAUGUCAUUUAUGGAGGAGAAUUAAUGCUCGGGACAGACCUGCUCCUAUCGGGAUAAAAGCAAAGGCUUUUCUUCGCUGUUAUCCUUUCCCAUCGAGCAAGGCUCAAAACCCAGCCAGCGACUCCCCUGGCCCUUCCUCAUCAAAAGGAGCUUCACCUUCCCGUUCUUUCCCUAUCCUCUGUCCUUGUUUGAUCGAGUGACAAGUGAGUGUCACUGUAUUUAGAAAACACAAAGGUGUGGCUAUUUCUGUCCCACAGUGUUUACACAAAGCCACGACUCUUCUGUCUGUUCAGAACCGGAAGGCCCUGAGUGCAAAGACCCAUGUGUGAUCUGUCACCACAGUGUUACACACACUGCAGCAGAAAUACUUAGACGUGAGUAUUUAACCCACGUCUAAGCCUAAGACAAGUUUUCAUUUCUUGGGUGGUGUUGGAGAUAGAAGAUCCACCAGGGGCAGCUAGUGCCAACCUUGAUUCUGUGAGACCACUGUCAUGGAGAUGACUCUUCUGUCCUUGCAGUCUGUGGGGCACACUGAAAAUGCAGAGGGCCCAAGACAAAGGAAAUUAGCCUACUGCAUUUGCUGAAGAGCCUAGUGUCUGUCUGUCAGUGAGCUCUGGUACCUGGACCGGGAACCACAAGAGCCCCGGGUGCUCUUAAUUUAAUCUACUGUGAUGAGCCACAUCAAAACCUACACUUUCACAUGGGUUAUGUGCCUGUCCCCUGUCCUCAGUGAAUAGUGCCAGGACCGUGAGUUCUCACCCAUCCUUUCUUGUGUGCCCUGUCCAAUCUCGUACAUUCUUUAUGAAAGCCAUGGCAGGGAGGAAGCUCAUUUGGCUUCUUACUCAAGCAACCCACACGUGUGUCUGCACCUCCUCUGCUGACUGCAGCUGCUUUUGAAAACUCACUGAAUGUGUAAUUACACAAAGAAUUCACAAUAACGAGCCCUCGACUCGUCUCUCCAUGUGUGACCACCCCCUGUCUUCCUUACACUUCUGUCUCAUUUUGAAUAUAACUCAGGGUUCCUGCAGAACAUGUAGAAAAUGUGAAGGAAAAAAUCAAAUAUAGCUCAGAUCCCAACUACCUGGAGGGUACCUGACAGGGGCAGGCUGGUGGCUUCUUUAGAAAGUUCUCAGAGGGAAGCUCUGCCCUUUCCCCGGAGACCACCCUGGGUCUACACAAUGCCCACGUCUCUAAAGGUCUCUCCCCGGCGUCUUCAUUCUCUAUGUGCUAGUCACUAGGUGGACUUCGAGCCAAGCUGCCCAGCUUCCAUAAGUCUACGAUGUCUCCUGUGAAACAACUAGAGCAGGCCACAGGCAGCUUUCUCAGUCCCUGGAUUCUUCUCCCUCUCUUCCCUUCUUACCCCCUUCUUUCUCUCUCGGGGGCUCCCUCUUUUCCUCUUAACUACACUGCAUGAACACAUGAAGCAGCCGAGGGAAGAGGAGGAAUCAGGAGCGAGCAAAGACCUGGGCUCCCCGGAGGUACCUAAUGAGCCCAACCGCCGUGGGCACUAUUGUGGUUUGAACAAGAAAUGCUCUCACAGGCUCCUGUGUUUCACACUCAGUUCCCACAUGUGCUGCUGUUUCGGAAGGCUGUAGAACCUUUAAAAGGUGGUGUGCAUCAUGGGAGGAAGUAGUCACCAGGCGUGAACCCCAAGAUUUGAUAGCCUGGCCCUACUUCCUGCCGUUCUCUACUUCCUGCCUGUAAACUCCCUCACACUUCCGCCCCCACGCCUUUGCUACCAUGAUCGUCUGUUUCUCCUUAAACUGAAAGUCAAAAUAAGCCCUUCCUCAUUUAGGUUGCUUCUUGUCGGCCAGCAUGUCUCUGUUCCCUGCCUGACCUUUGCGUUGACAGGUUGAUUCUAGAGUUCCCAAUGCAUGAGGGAGAAGACAGUCUCAAAGUCUCCCAGACUUAAAAUGCCAACCUUUAACUCACAGAACUGCACACUGAAACGGGGGUAGGGGAGCAGGCUUAACUUCAUUUAAACCGUAUCUCAAUUUUUUUGUUUUGUUUUUUUGAGACAGGGUUUCUCUGUGUAGUUUUGGUGUCUGUCCUGGAUCUCACUCUAUAGACCAGGCUGGCCUUGAACUCAUAGAGAUCCGCCCAGCUCUGCCUCCCGAGUGCUGGGAUUAAAAGCAUGCGCCACUGCCGCCCAGCUCAUAUCUCAAUUUUUAAAACACAAACAUCAAAAAAGAAAACAGCAGUGAAAAAAUUAAUACAAGUAUCCACCAUCCUUUCAUACAAAGGGGUGGUGACCAUUUCUCAGUCUUUUGUGGCUUAGAGUUGAGGACACUCGGGCCAAGGGCCUUGCUGCUGGAGCCUUUGGGAGGAGGAAAUGUCGGUGUGAUGGUUAGUAUUUUUAAUAUUUAAUGAAUUUAAUAAUUAAUUUUACAGGACUUAGCAUCACCCAGGAAAUAACUUCCGGGCGUGUCUGUGAGGGAGUUUCUAUCAGGCUAACUGAGGUGAGCCCCUCGCAAGCUUGAGAUCCUAAUGGAAUGAAAAGGAGGAAGUGGGCUGAAUACUGUGUUCGGCUUUCCUUGCCUCCUCACCAUGGCUGCAGUGUGACCAGCUGCUCAUGCUCCCGUGGCCCGGUCUUCCCUGCCAAGACUGUGCUCUCCCAAACUGAAAGCCAAAAUAAAUCCUUCCUUCCUUAAACUGCUUUCUUCACAGCAACGGGAAAAGUAAGUGAUGUCCUGGGCGUUGGGGAUCAGAGCUGAGGGAGAAUUCUAGUCGAGAAAGCCCCUCAAAGUCUCCAGUGUAUGUUGGUCUGAUUCGGGGAUUACACAGCACUCCAGACUUAGAUCUUCCCAACCUCUGCAUUCCUAAUUUCAGUGCCAUUGGUGGCCUACUGUUACCAUGGUUACUUGGCGGGUUGUCCAUCUCCUGUAUCACAUAAAGAAUUCAAGGUGAUGGUAGUAAAAUUAAAAUGAAAGCUACAGCUGGGAGGCUGGCUCCGACCGCUUCAGCCUGUGGGGCUUCUGUGACGCCUGUGUGGGCUAAUUGCACUAGUUGUGUACGGUGUGUAAGUGAAAUAAUGUAGAAGACUAAAGAACUAAUUAGAUCGGUGCUUAUUAUGAGCACCUGGCACAGACGCCUCUCUCGCAGAGCAGGAGGCAGGCAGAUUCAUCUGAAUGGGGCAAACCGUGAACGCAACGGAGCUAGCGGGAGCUGAGGUGGUCCAGCAGCUCUGGGGGUUCAGGCAGGCAGUGCCAGGGGCGGCACUGGGGAAACAGGACUCCGUUCCCUCAGGCCAGCGUCAAAGCCAAGGUUUCGCUGUCCACUGAAGACAGCGGCGUAGCCAGCAAGUUCCUGUUCCCAGACUGGCCCUCCCGGGACCAGAGCACGGGGACUCCGCGUUGACAGGCUAGUUCUAGAGUUCCCAAUGCACAAUCUAAGGGAGAAGACAGGGUCCCACAUUCAAGGUCUCCCAGUCCUAAAAUGCCAAAGCUUAACUCCCGUAGCUAAGAUUGUAAUUUAGUUUUGAAAGCACAACCCCCCACCCCCAAAUGACUGAAACUUCCUCCAGGAAGAAUGCACAUCUGCACACGACCUCAGACAAGUUGCUCCCGUGCCCUGGGGCUGAGGCACAUUCCACACUUGCUGUUCUGUAUCACAACCCUAUUGUGACCCCUCUCGCAGUUGAACCUCCCCUCCCACUCAGAGCUUCCUCUCUCCACCACCCCCACCAGCCAAUCUCUCCUUUGUAGGCUGGUAGGCAGCACUGUGACUAAGAGGCCACAAAAUAUGCCUAUGGCUGGGGAUGUCACAGUGCUAGACACAGGGACAAAAACAUUCGCUACCAAGGAUAUAACACAUGUUCUCAACCAUAUGUUGCGUGUCUGAUGGAGCACCCAGAGUCCUCAGUAUUCUAAUGGCGUCAUAUGUAUUAAUCUGUACUGUCCUGUCCAUGACGUUGGCAUUAAGACUGUCCCCAUCACCAACACACAUUUAGAUGAGGGAACAAAGGCAGAGAGAGGAGGUACGGUUCAAGGUCACAAAGACUUAAGUGGUGGAGUGGAGAUCUGAACCCACGCAGCCUCUACUCUAGGGCCUCAACUCCCAAGUUAGUGUGAGAGCUUGUGUGUGUACACAGCAUUCACAGUACGUUUGUUGUCUAUACAUGAUGCAUCGUUGCAUCAUAACAUUAACAGGCAGUGGUGGUGGCUCCAUCUCCAACAGGUGGUCACACUGCUGAGGUUCAACUUACCCCCCAGAGUCCUUUCAUUUGACCUUCACAGUGACGGUUGUGUCUGCUGGAAGAGCGACAUAGCCUGUAUGUUGCUCACAGCACUCCCCAGGUUGAAUGUGAAAUGUCACCCACAGACUCUACUUCCUGCUUCUGGAUGCAACCCAUCCAACCAUGUCUAGGGUUCUGUGCCCUGUCUCCCCUGCUGUGAUGGAUGUAUCCCCUCAAACUGUGAGCCACAGAAGCCUUUUCUUUCUUAAGUCCCUUCUUGUCAGGAACUUGAUCCCAGCAACGGGAACAGUAACAUGGAAGCCUGCUGAAAUGGGACUGGAGAGGCCAUCAGAGUGAUCUGACUCCUGCGCUGUAGGCCCCAUUUGAAGUCCCUGGAAGUCAGGGCACUUUUUAAGAAGGUCAAUAAAUGUUGGUUAGUUUUAACUGUCAACUUGCCAUAAUCUAGAAUAACCUGAGAAGAAAGCCUCAAUGGAGGGAUUGCCCAGAUCAGGUUGGCUUGUGGGGCUAUCUCUGGGGAAUUAUCUUGAUCAGUACCUAACGGAGCCCACUCUGGGGGACACCAUUCUCUAGGCUGGGUCCUGAAUGGUAUGAGUGAGGAGAAAGAGCAGAAGCAGGGAGCAUGGGGGGGGCACCAUUUCUCUUUGUUCUUGAGUGGAUAUGAUAUGAUCGACUGCUUCAAGCUCCUGCUUCUGUGACUCUUCUCUGCAAUGAUGGGCUGGAACUCGGGCUAAAAAUACAAGUCAAACCUCUCCUAUCCUAUGCUGAUUUCUGUCAGAGUGUUUAAUCAUAGCAACAGAAAUUAAACUAAGCCAGUCAGCAAUGUACUGCCAUGGGCAGAGGCACCACAAGACUCUCAAACAAACUUGGGGUUUUCAUCGGUAAAGAUCUCAAGGCCUGGAGUUAGUCCCAGUUUUCUGGUGAUGAAAACAGCUUGCAUGGUGCUGAUGCAGGUGACUGGGAGGAGGAAAGGCUGUCGCCUCUUCAGUGAUGAGAGCCCCAGUUCCAUAGACUGGCUCUGGGGGUUGCAGCCUGGCUGAGCUUCAGGGUUCUGUUUCAUAACUGUGUGUUGGAUGAAGCUGUGGCUGAGACCCCUUCAUGAGACUUUGGGAUGAAGUUCACGAUUGAGCCCUGGAACUAACGCAGUGAAUGGUGGUCUCAAGUGAGGACACACACCAAGUACAGCAAGUGCUUUCUGGAAACAAGCAUCCCCUCAGCUGCGCUGCUCCACGUGCUAGCUACUGGGGACAGGCGGCUGCCCCAACCUACACUCAAAUGAAGUAAAAUAAAAUGUACAGUUGCUGUUCACCUUACAGGGCUGUGUCUCAUAAACACACCAUGAGUUGGAAAGCAUGUUAAGUGGAAAAUACAUUUAAUAUACCUGCCCUGCCGAGCGUCCCAGCUUAACCAUACAGCACACGCCAGAAUCCCCUUGAGGUCACUGGAAUGACUGGGAGCUCAGUCCUACCCCAUACUCCACUACCCACUACUGCCCAUCACCAAGGAUCAUACCACACAGCUCCAGCUUCAAAUUAGGAAAGCCAUUUCGGCUAAAUGUGCCCUGGUUUGCGCAUUGCAAAGUUGAGCCUCUGUAAGUCAGAGCCAGUCUACACACCCAGACGGGGUCAUCGUCUACGACUGUGCUAGCUGGCAGAAUCCAGAGCAUUUCCAGGGCAGCAGAGAGUCCUGUUGGGUUGUAACUAUCUAGACCAACCCAAAGCCCUGCAGUGUGGUCCUUACUAUGUUGCACAGUGCUAUCUCAUAGGGCUGUAGGUGUGGGGUGGGCUGAACAGUGACUCCAAAGACCCUUAGUCCUAAUCCCUGGAGUCUAUGACACCAUACAUGGAAAAAUGGUUCUGGAAGAUGUGACUGAACCUCUGAUAGGGGUUAUCAGUGUCCUGUGGUAUUCCCACCAUGUUGCCCUCAUUAUCUUGGAAAACAUGUGCCGGGUGGUCAGAGACACACAGAAGAGAGAGCGAUGUGACCACCGAGGUAGGCUGAGUGACCUAGACACAAGCCAAGGAGUGGCAGCAGCCACCAGAGGCUAGAAGAGGCAAUGACUGGAUUAUCCUUGGAGUUUCUAGGGAGCACGGCUCUACCCCUUCAUCUCAGAACAUCCAGACUUCCGGUUAAGACACCAAGAUUGCAGCGAUUUAAUUUGGCAAGAGCAAAGUAACACAAAGGUCACUUUGUGUAAAGCAUUCUUGAAAUAGAAAAAGUAUUCAGGAAAUGACAGUCUCCCCCUCCUCCCUGUAUGCACACCUGAGGUACCCAGUCACUAAGAUGGCUACAGUUACCAACCAGACCCUGGGAGUUACAGUGCGGAACCCCACUUUUGAGUUCUGGCCCUGGGGCUAGGAGGAGGAAUGAAGGCGAAGCCUGGGAAGUUGGUUCUUGCUUAGUCAACAACUGAAACAGCUUCUGACUAGUUAUGCUUCCCAGACUGAGAUCUUCAACAAAAGCUAUUGCUUCAAAUAGCCCACGCUAUACCAAGGAUGACAUGCGUAUUGCCACACUUUGCAGGAGAGAGAGCCCAGGUCACUGCCACACUCUGCAGGGGAGAGAGCCCAGGUCACUGCCACACUCUGCAGCAGAGCCCAGGUCACUGCGACACUCUGCAGGGGAGAGAGCCCAGGUCACUGCCACACUCUGCAGCAGAGCCCAGGUCACUGCGACACUCUGCAGGGGAGAGAGCCCAGGUCACUGCCACACUCUGCAGCAGAGCCCAGGUCACUGCGACACUCUGCAGGGGAGAGAGCCCAGGUCACUGCCACACUCUGCAGGGGAGAGAGCCCAGGUCACUGCCACACUCUGCAGGGGAGAGAGCCCAGGUCACUGCCACACUCUGCAGGAGAGCCCAGGUCACUGCCACACUCUGCAGCAGAGCCCAGGUCACUGCCACACUCUGCAGGAGAGCCCAGGUCACUGCGACACUCUGCAGCAGAGCCCAGGUCACUGCCACACUCUGCAGGAGAGCCCAGGUCACUGCCACACUCUGCAGGAGAGCCCAGGUCACUGCCACACUCUGCAGCAGAGCCCAGGUCACUGCCACACUCUGCAGCAGAGCCCAGGUCACUGCCACACUCUGCAGCAGAGCCCAGGUCACUGCCACACUCUGCAGCAGAGCCCAGGUCACUGCCACACUCUGCAGCAGAGCCCAGGUCCUUAGAGUGUGAAGAAGGGGAAGAAGACAUACCAAAGGAUGCGUGUGGAAGGUGCCUGGAAAGGACCUGAUGCCUCCUUUGGCAUAAUAAUGACAAAUAAAAACCUAAACAGUCAGUAUUCUAAAAAUAAGCCAAAAGCUUAAGGAUGUUUAACAUUCGUAUAUAUAACUACAUAUCAGAGAUCACUUGAAGAAAACCCAGCACCAAGACACAGAGAAGUAGAUAAAUGACAGAACAGUCCAGAUGAAGAACUAUCAACAAGCAAAACCAACUCAAAUAAGUUGGGGAUACACACCUGUUAAUCCUAGCACUCAGGAGGCUGAGGCAGGAGGAUCUUGAAUUCAAGGUUAACCUGGGCUGCAUAGUUAGAUCCUGUCUCAAGGCAAAAACAAAAAUGGAAUUAUUCCCCAACCCCCAAAAUAAUUAAAUUAGCUGGGUGCUGGUGGUGCACGCCUUUAAUCUCAGUGCUCGGGAGGCAGAGGCAAGUAAGUCUCUGAGUUCAAGGCCAGCCUGAUCUACAGAGCAAGUUCCAGGACACCCAGGGCUACACAGAGAAACCCUGUCUCGAAAAACCAAAAAAAAAAAAAAAAAAAAAAAUUAAAAAUUUAAAUUAACACAAAUUCCAAGAUCACUUGAUAGCCUUUUUUAUUGGCUCUGCAAAAUAUUAAAAAGAUUACAAUCAGUUUAUUAUCUAGUGCACCCAUGCAAUCAAAUGCCAAGCAUUCAUUAAAAAAAAAUCUUUUGAAAAGCAUUACAGGGCCAUGGGAAAGUUCAAUGUUGAAGUUUUAAAGGAAAAUAUGAAUAAAUAAAACUAAUUAAAAUAUAUAUAUAUAUAUUAGAGAGAAAAGAGACAGGAAGGAACUUGACCGAAAAUGUUCACAGUUGUUGUCUCUGUAUGCUGAAAUGAAAACUAUACAUAGGCCAGUUUUUCUUUUUUAAACUUUACCUCAAAUGAAUAUGUGUUACUUUUGAAGUUUAACUUUUCAGCGGGAUGGGGAGGGGAUGAGAGACGAAGAUAAGAUUGAAAACGACCUAAAAUUGUUAUAUACGUGUAUGAAACUGUUAAUUUUUUAAACCUUCACCUAGGACAGCU